AAGCGCUUGCAACCAGACUUGCACGCGGUUGAUCAUCCGGUGUUCUCACCGGUGCACUCGACCGUGUUCAGGCCAGCAUCGGUUCAGGUGGUGGGAUAAAGGCCGCAGGAACGUAGCUCUUCGGAGUGUUAUAGCCUGUGGUGUAAUCCCCCCGCCGGGACCGAGGACCGCGCAUUGCAAGGAUGCUGGCGUAAUGGUCAUCAGCGA
This 207-nucleotide ribosomal RNA is filed under the name Orbiliales sp. RNAcentral's name for it is "partial large subunit ribosomal RNA". Lineage: Eukaryota; Fungi; Ascomycota; Orbiliomycetes; Orbiliales. The record is from RNAcentral.